RNAcentral lists this ribosomal RNA (494 nucleotides) under uncultured bacterium. Its description in RNAcentral is "partial 16S ribosomal RNA". It matches the Rfam family "Bacterial small subunit ribosomal RNA", at positions 28 to 507 of the family's 1533-position model. The record is from RNAcentral.
GACGAACGCUGGCGGCGUGCCUAAUACAUGCAAGUAGAACGCUGAAGGAGGAGCUUGCUCUUCUGGAUGAGUUGCGAACGGGUGAGUAACGCGUAGGUAACCUGCCUGGUAGCGGGGGAUAACUAUUGGAAACGAUAGCUAAUACCGCAUAACAGUAGAUGUUGCAUGACAUUUACUUAAAAGGUGCAAUUGCAUCACUACCAGAUGGACCUGCGUUGUAUAGCUAGUUGGUGGGGUAACGGCUCACCAAGGCGACGAUACAUAGCCGACCUGAGAGGGUGAUCGGCCACACUGGGACUGAGACACGGCCCAGACUCCUACGGGAGGCAGCAGUAGGGAAUCUUCGGCAAUGGACGGAAGUCUGACCGAGCAACGCCGCGUGAGUGAAGAAGGUUUUCGGAUCGUAAAGCUCUGUUGUAAGAGAAGAACGAGUGUGAGAGUGGAAAGUUCACACUGUGACGGUAUCUUACCAGAAAGGGACGGCUAACUACGUG